AACGCACCUUGCGCCCUUUGGUACUCCGAAGGGUACGCCCGUUUGAGUGUCAUUGUAAUCUCACCUCUUCGACUUUUGUUGUCGACCAGUGUGGACUUGGAUGUUGCCGUGUAACAAACGGCUCGUCUGAAAUGCCUGAGUGUACCCUGCUUUGCGGCGUAUUCGGUGUGAUAAAUCUUCACCGGAGUCUUGACUCUUUGGGUCGGCGCUCGUAUGGUUUUGGCUCUAUGCUUUCCAACUGUCCCUGACAAGGACAAUACUCUGACAAUUUGACCUCAAAUCGGGUGGGACUACCCGCUGAACUUAA
This 307-nucleotide ribosomal RNA is filed under the name uncultured fungus. Its description in RNAcentral is "eukaryotic LSU rRNA". The record is from RNAcentral. Lineage: Eukaryota; Fungi.